GCAGCACGGACUUCGGUCUGGUGGCGAGUGGCGAACGGGUGAGUAAUGUAUCGGAACGUGCCCAGUAGCGGGGGAUAACUACGCGAAAGCGUAGCUAAUACCGCAUACGCCCUACGGGGGAAAGCAGGGGAUCGCAAGACCUUGCACUAUUGGAGCGGCCGAUAUCGGAUUAGCUAGUUGGUGGGGUAACGGCUCACCAAGGCGACGAUCCGUAGCUGGUUUGAGAGGACGACCAGCCACACUGGGACUGAGACACGGCCCAGACUCCUACGGGAGGCAGCAGUGGGGAAUUUUGGACAAUGGGGGAAACCCUGAUCCAGCCAUCCCGCGUGUGCGAUGAAGGCCUUCGGGUUGUAAAGCACUUUUGGCAGGAAAGAAACGUCGUGGGUUAAUACCCCGCGAAACUGACGGUACCUGCAGAAUAAGCACCGGCUAACUACGUGCCAGCAGCCGCGGUAAUACGUAGGGUGCAAGCGUUAAUCGGAAUUACUGGGCGUAAAGCGUGCGCAGGCGGUUCGGAAAGAAAGAUGUGAAAUCCCAGAGCUUAACUUUGGAACUGCAUUUUUAACUACCGGGCUAGAGUGUGUC
RNAcentral lists this ribosomal RNA (588 nucleotides) under Achromobacter xylosoxidans. Its description in RNAcentral is "bacterial SSU rRNA". It matches the Rfam family "Bacterial small subunit ribosomal RNA", at positions 69 to 652 of the family's 1533-position model. Lineage: Bacteria; Pseudomonadati; Pseudomonadota; Betaproteobacteria; Burkholderiales; Alcaligenaceae. The record is from RNAcentral.